Bufo gargarizans (Asiatic toad) is the source of this 82-nucleotide non-coding RNA. Lineage: Eukaryota; Metazoa; Chordata; Amphibia; Anura; Bufonidae. The record is from the annotation of a RefSeq genome assembly.
GUAGUCGUGGUCGAGUGGUUAAGGUGAUAGACUAGAAAUCCAUUGGGGUUUCCCUGUGUAGGUUAAAAUCCUGCCGACUACG